RNAcentral lists this ribosomal RNA (253 nucleotides) under uncultured bacterium. Its description in RNAcentral is "partial 16S ribosomal RNA". It matches the Rfam family "Bacterial small subunit ribosomal RNA", at positions 524 to 776 of the family's 1533-position model. The record is from RNAcentral.
UACGUAGGGGGCAAGCGUUGUCCGGAUUUACUGGGCGUAAAGAGCGCGCAGGCGGCCGAGUCAGUCGAAUGUGAAAGCCCCCGGCUCAACUGGGGAGGGUCAUUCGAUACUGCUCGGCUUGAAGGUGGGAGAGGGAAGCGGAAUUUCAGGUGUAGUGGUGAAAUGCGUAGAUAUCUGAAGGAACACCAGUGGCGAAGGCGGCUUUCUGGCCCACUCUUGACGCUGAGGCGCGAAAGCUAGGGGAGCAAACGGG